GAUUAACGCUAGCGGCAGGCAUAAUACAUGCAAGUUGAACGAGAUAAGUUUUAGCAAUAGAACUUUGAAAGUGGCGCACGGGUGCGUAACACGUAUGCAACCUACCUUUUACUGGGGAAUAGCCUCUCGAAAGAGAGAUUAAUACCCCAUAAUAUAUUGAUAAGGCAUCUUAUUAAUAUUAGAGUUACGGCGGUAAAAGAUGGGCAUGCGGCUGAUUAGGUAGUUGGUGAGGUAAUGGCUCACCAAGCCGACGAUCAGUAGGGGGUCUGAGAGGAUGUCCCCCACACUGGUACUGAGACACGGACCAGACUCCUACGGGAGGCAGCAGUAGGGAAUAUUGGACAAUGGGCGCAAGCCUGAUCCAGCCAUGCCGCGUGCAGGAUGAAGGCCCUAUGGGUCGUAAACUGCUUUCGUACGGGAAGAAACCUCACUACGUGUAGUGAGUUGACGGUACCGUGAGAAUAAGGAUCGGCUAACUUCGUGCCAGCCGCCGCGGUAA
Molecule: ribosomal RNA, 499 nt
Filed under: uncultured bacterium
Lineage: Bacteria
Description: partial 16S ribosomal RNA
Rfam family: Bacterial small subunit ribosomal RNA
Source: RNAcentral